UUUUUGUUUUGUUACAAGGGCGUACGGUGGAUGCCUUGGCAUGCUUAGCCGAUGAAGGACGUGUGAGGCUGCGUUAUGCCUCGGGGAGUUGCCAACAAAGCGUUGAUCCGAGGAUGUCCGAAUGGGGAAACCUGGCACUUGUUAUGGAGUGUUACCUGCAGAUGAAUGUAUAGUCUGUGUGGGGGUUACGCGGGGAAGUGAAACAUCUCAGUACCCGUAGGAGAAGAAAACAAUUGUGAUUCUGCUAGUAGUGGCGAGCGAACGUGGAUGAGGCUAAACCAUGCGUGUGUGAUACCUGGCAGGGGUUGCGCGUGUGGUGUUGUGGGCGAUGAUUGUGGGUAUGCUGCCAUGUACCCCUAUGAUGCGGCGUGUUAGCGGAAGUCACCUGGGAUGGUGUGCCGGAGAGGGUGAGAGCCCCUGUACGUGAAGGCGUGUCGUGUUGUGGUGAUUGUUUGCCCGAGUAGCAGUGGGCUCGUGGAAUCUGCUGUGAAUCUGCCGGGACCACCCGGUAAGCCUAAAUACUAAGUGUGACCGAUAGUGAAUAAGUACCGUGAGGGAAUGGUGAAAAGUACCCCGGGAGGGGAGUGAAAGAGUUCCUGAAACCGUGCGCUUACAAUCCGUCAGAGCACCGCGUGUGUGUGAUGGCGUGCCUUUUGAAGAAUGAGCCUGCGAGUCAGCGGCAUGUCGCGAGGUUAACCCGUGUGGGGUAGUCGUAGCGAAAGCGAAUCCUAAUUGGGUGUUGUAAGUGGCAUGUCCUGGACCCGAAGCGGGGUGAUCUACCCAUGGCCAGUGUGAAGCAGCUGUAAGAGGUUGUGGAGGCGCGAACCCACUUAGGUUGAAAACUGAGGGGAUGAGUUGUGGGUAGGGGUGAAAGGCCAAUCAAACUCCGUGAUAGCUGGUUCUCCCCGAAAUGCAUUUAGGUGCAGCGUUAUAGUAGUUUGCCGGAGGUAGAGCUACUGGUUGGUUGAGCGGGACUAUCAUCUUAGCAACAUCAGCCAAACUCCGAAUGCCGGUCAAGUGUUCUAUAGCAGUGAGACUGUGGGGGAUAAGCUUCAUAGUCGAGAGGGAAACAGCCCAGAUCGCCGGUUAAGGCCCCUAAGGGUGUACUAAGUGGAAAAGGAUGUGGGAUCGCGAAGACAGCCAGGAGGUUGGCUUAGAAGCAGCCAUCCUUGAAAGAGUGCGUAAUAGCUCACUGGUCGAGUGGUUCUGCGCCGACAAUGUAGUGGGGCUCAAGUACACCGCCGAAGCCGCGGCAUAGUUUUUACUAUGGGUAGGGGAGCGUCGUGCAUGGGGUGAAGCCAUACUGUAAGGGGUGGUGGACUGUGUGCGAGUGAGAAUGCAGGCAUGAGUAACGAGAGAUACGUGAGAAUCGUAUCCGCUGGAUGACUAAGGGUUCCUGGGUCAAGUUCGUCUUCCCAGGGUGAGUCGGGUCCUAAGGCGAGGCCGACAGGCGUAGUCGAUGGUCAACGGGUUGAUAUUCCCGUACCCGUAUGCAUGCGACAAAGAGUGAAGCGGUGAUACUAACCACCCUGAACUGGCAACAUGCGCACCACUUGUGGUGUGUGGUUGUUGGUGAUGCGUGGGGCCUGAUCCGUGGUAGUUCAGUGAUGGGGUGACGCAGUCAGGUAGCCGCGCCAAGUGUUGGAUAUCUUGGUGUAAGCGUGUGGCACGUCGACUUGUGAAAUGCGGUCGAUAUUUUGUGUGAGGCGUGAUGCGUAGCCCAAUUGUUGGGUGAUGGUGGUGAUCCUUUGCUGUCGAGAAAAGCCUCUAGCGAUGUGUGUGUAUGGCCCGUACCCGAAACCGACACAGGUGGUCAGGUAGAGAAUACUAAAGCGGUCGGGUGAACUGUGGUUAAGGAAUUCGGCAAAUUGCCCCCGUAACUUCGGGAGAAGGGGGGCCCUUGCUGGUUGCAUACUUUUUCGGUGUGUUGCUGGUGGGGGUCGCAGAGAAUAGAGGGGAGCGACUGUUUAUCAAAAACACAGGUCCGUGCGAAGACGGUUAAGUUGAUGUAUACGGACUGACGCCUGCCCGGUGCUGGAAGGUUAAGAGGACCUGUUAG
This 2059-nucleotide ribosomal RNA is filed under the name Corynebacterium sp. HMSC08D02. RNAcentral describes it as "bacterial LSU rRNA". It matches the Rfam family "Bacterial large subunit ribosomal RNA", at positions 1 to 1893 of the family's 2925-position model. The record is from RNAcentral. Lineage: Bacteria; Bacillati; Actinomycetota; Actinomycetes; Mycobacteriales; Corynebacteriaceae.